CACACAGAUGUUGCAGUGAGCCACCUAUCCACUUUUCUUCCUUCAUUUACCUCUAAGAAAUGAGGAUGCUUUUAAUGCUUUGGUUAAAGAGGGGGCGUAUUCUCUUCCCAGCACCUGCAUUGCUUACUGGCUUCAGUGAAGUCAAGAUUACGUGAGCUUCCUGGCUCUGGGAGUAAUUCACCAAAGAUUGCUAACAACAUUCUGUCAAAAAAUGCUUCUGCUGCGGUCAAAGAAGCAAUUGAGACCUUGAGAGGCAACAAUGUAAAAUGCAGCUGUCUUGGAUUUUCGAGCCAACAGGUGAUAUGAUUAUAUAACCACAGAAGUGCUUUUCUUUUUGUUCUUGAACACUUGAGAGUUUUCUUUUGCUGCAGUGGCGGUUCUUUCCCACAAGGAAUUGAGAUUGCUAAGUUUUUGAGAAUAAGGGAGGAGAAGAAGGAGAGGAAGGAGAGGUCUCAUGCUACCACAACCAACACCACCAUGUCUAAGUCGUCGUCAUCAAGAUGGAGUAAAUGUCUAGAGAUCAUCAAAGGCAUCAUUUUCUUAUAUCAGCUGCUCCAGCACAACCGCAGAAACUCUCACCAUAAAAUGAUACUGCUCCACUUUCAUCCUUCAUUUACCUCUAAAGAAAUGAGGAUGCUUUUUCAUGCAUUGCUUACGUUUUAUCUUCUUUCAUCAGGUCACUCCUACUAUGUUAAGUUCAGGAGAUAGUGAAUUUCUGUGAAUGCAGUGAAGUCAAGAUUACGUGAACAUCCUGGAUCUGGGAGUAAUUCACCAAAGAAUGGCUGAGGUCAAAGAAGCAAUUGAGACCUUGAGAGGCAACUACGAUACCAAAAAUCACCAUGAGCAAGCACAUCUGCAACCCAUCUUUCACCUUUGAUUUUCUCAGAUCGCAGAGACUAACGUUGUCUCUCAGGGUCAAAGCUUUAAAUCAGAGAGCCGGUUUACAGAUUAGGCUCUGCCUGGUAUGAACUUUUGGCUUUAGACUUUUAAAGUAGUAGAGACUUUUAAAGUAGUUGAGACUUUUUUGC
This is a long non-coding RNA of Brassica oleracea var. oleracea, 1028 nucleotides long. RefSeq lists it as uncharacterized. The transcript has 5 exons. The record is from RefSeq and is a predicted model, not a curated record. NCBI's taxonomy places the organism in Eukaryota, Viridiplantae, Streptophyta, Magnoliopsida, Brassicales, Brassicaceae.